AUGCUCAUGCUUACAGCACACGUCCUAAAACUGGAACGAUAGUGAGAUGAGCAUGGCUCCUGUGCAAGAACGACACUCAAAUUUGUGAAGCACUCCAUAUUUGA
Molecule: small nuclear RNA, 104 nt
Organism: Tupaia belangeri (northern tree shrew)
Lineage: Eukaryota; Metazoa; Chordata; Mammalia; Scandentia; Tupaiidae
Source: Ensembl